GAUGAACGCUGGCGGCGUGCCUAACACAUGCAAGUCGAGCGAAGCGCCUUACUUGAUUUCUUCGGGAUGAAAGUAUUGUGACUGAGCGGCGUACGGGUGAGGUACGCGUAGUAGUACUGCUCAUACAGGGGGAUAACAGUUAGAAAUGACUGCUAAUACCGCAUAAGACCACAGCACCGCAUGGUGCAGGGGUAAAAACUCCGGUGGUAUGAGAUGGAUCCGCGUCUGAUUAGCUAGUCGGCGGGGUAACGCCCACCAAGGCGACGAUCAGUAGCCGGACUGAGAGGUUGACCGGCCACAUUGGGACUGAGACACGGCCCAG
Molecule: ribosomal RNA, 322 nt
Filed under: uncultured bacterium
Lineage: Bacteria
Description: bacterial SSU rRNA
Rfam family: Bacterial small subunit ribosomal RNA
Source: RNAcentral